AGAGCGAACGCUGGCGGCAGGCCUAACACACGCAAGUCGAGCGGCCGUAGCAAUACGGCAGCGGCAGACGGGAGAGUAACACGUGGGAACGUGCCCUUCAGUUCGGAACAACCAAGGGAAACUUUGGCUAAUACCGGAUACGCCCUUACGGGGAAAGAUUUAUCGCUGAAGGAGCGGCCCGCGUCUGAUUAGCUAGUUGGUGAGGUAAUGGCUCACCAAGGCGACGAUCAGUAGCUGGUCUGAGAGGAUGAUCAGCCUCACUGGGACUGAGACACGGCCCAGACCUCCGUACGGGAGGCAGGUA
RNAcentral lists this ribosomal RNA (304 nucleotides) under uncultured soil bacterium. RNAcentral's name for it is "bacterial SSU rRNA". It matches the Rfam family "Bacterial small subunit ribosomal RNA", at positions 26 to 356 of the family's 1533-position model. The record is from RNAcentral.